AAUAACACUGGUAAGUUCUGGAAGGUAUUUCAUAGUGUUCCAAAAUGUGUCAUCCCUGUGCACAUGCAUUUGUUUCAAGGAUGUAAAGAGGAAAAACUCAAAGCAAUGUGUGUUCUGAUCAAGAAAUGACUGGAAAAGGCAGCUACCUGAUAUGGAACAAUCAAGAACUGAAGGUUUAUUUGGAAUGAGAGGUGUUGUCCAACUGCGAGACUGAGUGAUUUAAGCUGAGAAUAAAUGGAAACACAAUCAAUAGUCACUCCAGUGAGGUAGGAAAGAAAUCCAUUCCGAAGUGGCAGAGAAGCUGCUUUUUCCUCCUGCAUGCUGCCUGCUAGUGUGGAUCUUGGCAUAACAGACACUACUUGACAAAAGAUCCAUCCUUCCUUUUCCUAUACUUUGCUCAGUCGCCUGGAAGACUGACGUCAAAAGCAAAAUCACCUGGAUUUCCUUGCCAUUUGGCUUUCAAAUGUGCUCAGCCAAUGAGAGGCUGGAAAGAAAUUGACAGCUGGGAAAAGAGGAAGAUCAGUGUACAAGAGGAAGAUCGGUGUACAAGAGGAAGAUUAGUGUACAAGAGGACGAUUGGUGUACCUCCCACUCACAUCUCAUUACCUGCCAUGGUCCUAGUAGUGGCUGUUCUUAUUAUGGCCACAACUACUCUUGGACAGGCCCAUAUCCAUAGCUCCAUCCCUCAACUAGGCUUCAUGAACACUGUUCUCUGCCCUUAUCUCAUUCUGUGUAGGGGUGAUAAAGGUUUCCUGACAUCAGAGUUCCUGAGUGCCUCAUAUA
Molecule: long non-coding RNA, 783 nt
Organism: Piliocolobus tephrosceles (Ugandan red Colobus)
Lineage: Eukaryota; Metazoa; Chordata; Mammalia; Primates; Cercopithecidae
Exons: 3
Source: RefSeq, a predicted model, not a curated record